Molecule: ribosomal RNA, 464 nt
Filed under: uncultured bacterium
Lineage: Bacteria
Description: partial 16S ribosomal RNA
Rfam family: Bacterial small subunit ribosomal RNA
Source: RNAcentral
CCUACGGGUGGCAGCAGUAGGGAAUCUUCCACAAUGGACGAAAGUCUGAUGGAGCAACGCCGCGUGAGUGAAGAAGGGUUUCGGCUCGUAAAGCUCUGUUGGUAGUGAAGAAAGAUAGAGGUAGUAACUGGCCUUUAUUUGACGGUAAUUACUUAGAAAGUCACGGCUAACUACGUGCCAGCAGCCGCGGUAAUACGUAGGUGGCAAGCGUUGUCCGGAUUUAUUGGGCGUAAAGCGAGUGCAGGCGGUUCAAUAAGUCUGAUGUGAAAGCCGUCGGCUCAACCGGAGAAUGGCAUCAGAAACGGUUGAACUUGAGUGCAGAAGGGGAGAGUGGAACUCCAGGUGUAGCGGUGGAAUGCGUAGGUAUAUGGAAGAACACCAGUGGCGAAGGCGGCAGGCCGGCUUCCGACGGACGCUGAAGCACGAAAGCGUGGGGAUCGAACAGGAUUAGAUACCCCAGUAUC